UGGGAUGUAGCCCCGCCUGUGGCGGGGCACACGUCUGGGGGGCGUGGGGUCGCAAGUUCGAAUCUUGUCAUCCCGA
This 76-nucleotide transfer RNA is filed under the name Chitinophagaceae bacterium. RNAcentral describes it as "tRNA-Pro". It matches the Rfam family "tRNA". From Rfam's summary of the family: Transfer RNA (tRNA) molecules are approximately 80 nucleotides in length. Their secondary structure includes four short double-helical elements and three loops (D, anti-codon, and T loops). RNAcentral also lists the same sequence under 1 other name. The record is from RNAcentral. Lineage: Bacteria; Pseudomonadati; Bacteroidota; Chitinophagia; Chitinophagales; Chitinophagaceae.